GCCGGGUGUGGUGGCUCACACCUGUAAUCCCAGCACUUUGGGAGGCUGAGGCAGGUGGAUUGCUUGAGGUCAGGAGUUCGAGACCAGCCUGGCCAACAUGGCGAAACCCUGUCUCUA
This 117-nucleotide non-coding RNA is filed under the name Nomascus leucogenys (northern white-cheeked gibbon). The record is from Rfam by way of RNAcentral. Lineage: Eukaryota; Metazoa; Chordata; Mammalia; Primates; Hylobatidae.